RNAcentral lists this non-coding RNA (30 nucleotides) under Mus musculus (house mouse). Lineage: Eukaryota; Metazoa; Chordata; Mammalia; Rodentia; Muridae. The record is from RNAcentral.
UAUAUAUUCUUGAUAGAAGCCUCCAGCCAC